RNAcentral lists this long non-coding RNA (1064 nucleotides) under Cricetulus griseus (Chinese hamster). RNAcentral's name for it is "lncRNA (ENSCGRG00015040489.1)". Lineage: Eukaryota; Metazoa; Chordata; Mammalia; Rodentia; Cricetidae. The record is from RNAcentral.
CAUGCCCGCCCGCGGUCCCGCCGGUGCCCACCGGUCUCCACCCUACCUGUGCGUCCAGCCCUGCGAAGUCCGCCACCCGGGCGCCCGGUGCCAACGGUCCCUAAUGUGACCAGGGCUGACUGCAGGGCGGGGUGACCCCAGUCCCUGGUGGGGCUCAGUUCUGAGGGACAGCCCUGGAGUGAGUCUAUCCCGUGCCUUCCGCCCACUCCCACGGACGGCGCCGCCGACUCCGGGGCCGAGCAGCUUCACACUGAGGCGAGCCGGCCCGGAGCCGAGGGCGAGGGCCACACACCCCCUGGCGGCCCGCCCGCAGGGCACAAAAAGGUUUAGAGGUGGGACGCACAGAGGGGGGCGGGAGGGAACCGGACGUGACACCACAAGGAAGCUGCGGCGGACGAUUAGCCACGGCGGAAGCCGGUGCCUCAGUAAUUCCGGCGCGCCAGUGCGGACGAGCCGCUAAGCAGCGCCCCCUGCAGGCACACAUUGGCACCUUCCGGGCCGUCCCACCGCGGCCCGCCAGAGCCGGCGUCGGGCCGUCGGCACCUUCCGUUCUGUUCGGCUGCCGACCGCGGGGCGGAGGCGCGUUACUGUUGCACUGCCGCACCCCCUUGUGGCCUCCCGUUGGCAACGAACGUUCCACCACUCCAGGGCCGGUGAUGCGGAACGAAGACAAAAGCGCUUACUAACGCACACACGGAACAACCCCCCAGCACCGUACCGUCGGAAUCUUGGAUAAUGCCGAGUCACGAGGUUCCGCCUUCAGGCCACAGGAUGCUGGAUUUGGCGUUUGAGCGCUGGGAUUGGCAACUGGCUGCCGGAAGCCUUCCCGGAGUCUGUAUCACGGAAAGGUUCUUCCUCAGCUGGAGAUCUGCCCUCCAAACUGUACUUGUUAUCAAACCUUCAUCCGCUUUUUCUUGGUUGAAAGUCAGUAAGGUUUGAAGGUCUCCUUCAAAUCUUAUUCAGAACAGGAUUUCUCUGUGUAGCUGUGGCUGAAGGUGGGUUUAAAGGAAAACCCAGAUAAAUGAUUAUCAGGUAUUUAUUAGGAGAGCCCUCACACAAUGGCG